Molecule: long non-coding RNA, 9490 nt
Filed under: Lynx pardinus (Iberian lynx)
Lineage: Eukaryota; Metazoa; Chordata; Mammalia; Carnivora; Felidae
Source: RNAcentral
AGGCAGAAAACCUAUUUCAGGAACUUCAAGAACAUUUUCAAGCUCUAACUGCAACUCUGAACCUCAGAAAUAUCCUUUCUAUCUUAUAACAAAUACUAUAAUGCUUUUGAACUGUAAUAUUAUCAAGGAAUAUCUUUUGUCUGCUAUUAGUGGAUAAUUGUUGACCUACGAUGUCCUGGUGUUUACAUUGUGCCUUUCCAUGAUAUCCUGGUGUAUUAACUACCACCCACAGGUCAUUACUUCCUGCCUGGCCAGCCAUCAGGGCAUUUUGUAUGAGAGCAAUACGAUACAAGGACGCAAUGCACGAUACUACCCAGUGGGGCUUUCUGAGCCUACAGACUACUAAAUCUGAGUAGUCUGCUGAAUAACAUCUAUGCACUUCCACGGAAUCAGAAACUUGCAAACAUCACAUGGAAUGUCUCCAACCGAGGAUACUAUAUAUGGCUCUCCUGACCUUUGUUUUGUUUGGUUUUGCAACUUCAGCAGCCAUUUUAAGACAUGAAUUCAAACAGAAUUAGAGUAAAAUGUUUGUUUCCAGUUUGAGCAAAUCCAGAUAAGCUGUAAUAUCGGUCCUAAGACUUAGAGCGCUAGAGCUCACUUUACUAAUUGAAUUCGUUCCAUAGAAAUUGUUUAAAAAAGGGGCGCCUGGGUGGCUCAGUCGGUUCAGCAUCCGCUUGAGGCUCAGGUCAUGAUCUCACGUCUGUAGGUUCAAGCCCCCUGUGGGGCUCUGUGCUGACAGCUCGGAGCCUGGAGCCUGCUUCGGAUUCUGUAUCUCCCUCUCUCUCUUUCAAAAAUAAACAUUUUAAAAAAUUAAAAAAGAAAAAAGAACUGAGCUUACAAUUCAGAGGUUAAAGACACACUCCAAAAACCUCAGGGGAAUAGUUAAUUUGCACUGACCUUAAGGUAUUAGUACGCGUAGUCUUUGAAUCCCUCGUUUUAAGUGUUGCACUGCCAGGGCAUUUUAUCAAUAGGCUCGAUGAGUAGCUGCAAUCUGAAGGAUCUCUCAGGACUUUCUGGCUGGUGCUCUGUACCCUGUGUAAAAUUCUCCUUAACGUUGUACUGGAAGAAAUGGGAAAUCGCAUCGAAGAUUUACAGAAGAAUGUGAAUGACUUAAUGGUGCAAGCUGGGAUUGAAAAUUCUAUUAAAGAACAAAUGGUAAGGCCAUUAUUAGGAAACUAAAUAUGUUUGUCUUUUGCAUAUCUUUUGAUUGCUUUCAUCUUGAAAAAUACAAUCCCGUAUUUGUUCACUGUGGGGACUAUUGCCUCUGUACUUCAUGGAAAAUCUUCAGGAAUAAUAAGACAUUUACAAAUGCUCUUUUCUAAAUAGACUAAGAGAAACACUCCUUGUCAUAGUUCCUUAAAAAGUGUACAGUUUAUUUAUUUAAAAAAUUUUUUUUAAUGUUUAUCUAUUCUUGAGAGAUAGAGACAGAGCACAAGCAGGGGACGGGCAAAGAAAGACACAGAACCUGAAGCAGGCUCCAGGCUCGGAGCCGUCAGCACAGAGCCCAACGCAGGGCUCGAACCCACAGACUGCAAGAUCAUGACCUGAGCCGAAGUCAGACACCCAACUGACUGAGUCACCCAGGCGCCCCAAAAAGUGUACAGUUUAUUUAUUUAUUUUUUAAUUUUUUUUUUAACGUUUAUUUAUUUUUGAGACAGAGAGAGACAGAGCAUGAAUGGGGGAGGGUCAGAGAGAGGGAGACACAGAAUCGGAAACAGGCUCCAGGCUCCGAGCUGUCAGCAUAGAGCCCGACGCGGGGCUCAAACUCACAGACCGUGAGAUCGUGACCUGAGCCGAAGUCGGCCGCUCAACUGACUGAGCCACCCAGGCGCCCCAAAAGUGUACAGUUUAAAUGACGAGCUCUACUAUUUAAAAAAUGGAUGUUAUUAAAGUGCUUUUCACAACCACCCCUCAAAUUAGUCUUCUAUCAAAACACAAAUCAUGAUGAAUUGGAGACUGGGGAUUAUGACGUGGUUUCUGUUUCAGACAAUAUAUUUAUAUAACCAUUUGAAGAAGACAUACGGGCGUUAAGCCCUCAACCCGUUUCUCAGUGGUUCGUGGGCCGUCCAUCCUGGCCUCCCACAAUGCAAACCUUUCCAGUGGAAUGUUGCAUUUAAUCUUGAAGAUCCGAGUAAAUGCUUGGCUUCAGGUCUCAGACUGGAUCUGUAUCUAUGUGCUGUAUGUGGAGGUUCACAACUUCAUUAAGAUACUUAUGUCUAUUUUAUUCUGACAGAUAAGAAUAAUAGGUUAUUCUCAUUGAACGAUUAGGUGUCUUUGUUUCCCUUGUUUUACUGUCUCUUUUAUAAUUAUCCUAAGUCAGCUGGCAAAUGAUCCCCACUUAAUCCUGCUAAAUCAGGGCCAGUUCACCUAUCAGCGACUUACAAAUACCCACAUCUCGUAUCCUGGUAACAAAGGUAAUCGUAACCUGCGUCCCGCUGCCACCGUAAAACGCUGCAGAGGACGCUCUGUCUCUGAGGUGAAGACAUAGCUUCAAUCAGGCUCCCUCGACGGGGCCCACCAGUCCUGAGGCGGGGCGAGCAAGCCCUCCCCCGCCCCCCUGCAGGGCUGACUGAGUGAGAAGAGGAGAGCCUCAGGGCAGGAAGCCCUGUGCCCAGAAGAGAUCUGGCACACUGCAGGCAUGGGAUGGCAGCCAGGUGACCAGGUCCCUGCCCUCCAUCACUCAGAUCUAGCUGCUGUUUUAAAUUUGGUCGAAACCACUAAAUAUUAGGCAUCAAGUUAAGUGAUCAAGUAGGUGUGGAAACCUCACUACGUGAUGUGCACGCAGCCUGAGAGAAGGUCAGACCUCCAAGUGUGUUUAAAAGUGGUACUGCCUUCUAAAUGAAAAGACCUAAACAAACUGAGAUGUUUGCACAAAUCUGUACUUGUUGGUUGUGCUUGGUCGCACUAGGUCAGGGUUAACACAGGGCUGGCUUGUGCUGUAAAUCUCAGGGGAUUGUGCACACCCCUCAAACCUGUGUUCCAGUUGUGGGGAACCCAAGAUGUUAAAAACUACUGUUCUAUAUUCCGAUAGAUCUGGUACUUUGUCCGUCUCCCCAUUAAAUGACGUUGUAACACCUUUCCCGCAAUUACUUAGGCACAGAUAGGCGGUGAGUGUGUGGGUGGAGGGAGCAGGGCGCUUCCCUCUGGGGUACUGUGUGCUCAGUCACCGCGGUGGAAUACUGAUGCAGGAGUCACGUUUCGGUAAGAGAACGUGCCGUUUAUUCACCUGCAGUUGUGAACCCACACUGACUCCAUCCAUCAAACAUGAAAAAUUUGUGGUUUUCUAUACACUCAAUUUUUCCUAUCCACAAAAUGUUUUAAUAAUUAAGGGAAAUUGGGGCACCUGGGUGGCUCAGUCAGUUGAGCCCCUGACUUCGGCUCAGGUCACGAUCUCACAGUUAGUUUGAGCCCCAUGCGGGUCUCUGUGCUGACAGCUCAGAGCCUGGAGCCUGCUUCGGAUUCUGUGUCUCCCUCUCUGUCUGCCUCUCCCCUACUUGUGCUCUCUCUGUCUCUCUCUCUGUUUCUCUCUCUCAAAAAUAAAUAAACAUUAAAAUUUUUUUUUUAAUUACAGGAAAUUAAGGUAUUUUACUGAAAGCUUUGGAUUCCAGGUUAUUUAACUGUGCAUUAAUUGGUAUAUAAAUCAACCAUUACCUCUUUCAAAUUUUUUCUUACAGACCUGAAGACUUGAAAAUAUGAUAAAGUCAAAGUUGUACUUUUUGAAUGACAAUUUGCAUAGUAUGUGUUCUGGUUUUUACUAUUUAAUUUAAAAAUUCAUUUUAAUGAAGUGAAAGAUUAAAAGAACAAUGCAAUAAGAACAUAGUUUAGAAGGUGAUUAACCACUUGACCCAGAUGGUUCUAAAAUGGCAGAACAUCUUUCAACGCAUACCUAGUAUUUACAAGUCAUGGGAGGGAAGCUUAAGCUAUAUCAGGUCAGCUCUUUUUCCUGAAUUAAGUUCUAGAUAGAUCUUUUUAAAAAAUCAUAAGCUGUUUUGUGACUGAGAUUUCUUUUUCAAUACCUGCAUUCCAACUCAGCUUUUCCAGUCAUAUGGUUCUCUGGCUGGUCCAAACACAUUCUGAUAGCAAUGUUCUCCAAACCAAACAAAACCCCGGAAAACAGCCCGCCUCGUCCCAGGCCACCCUUGCCCAGUCUGCUCCUAAGGAGGAGGUCACCAAGAAGAAGCACAAAGAUCACAGUUCAGCUUCUUCUGUAGGUUAUAUAGAGACGUUUUCAAAUAAUUAUCCAAUUUGCCUCUCUGAGCCAAAGUAAAGCAGAACAGGGUCGGUAAUAGGCUCUCAUUGUAAAAAUAACACGAUUCCUGCAUAUGAGAUAGAUUUUAUUCUUCAUACAAAAGUCAAAACCACCCAUAAUUCUACAAUUUAAAUUGAAUUAGCCACUUAAACAUUUUUCUGUACAUACAAUUCUAUAUAUGGUUGAUGAUGAUGUUUAUAAUCUCAUAUCCUGUUCUCUUCAUAUCAUAAACAUUUUUCCAUCUGAAAAUUUCACACACUUCUUAUAUUUUUUUUUAUGGCUGACUACUAUUCUAUCAUAUGGAUGUAAUAAUUUAACCAUUUCCUUGACUGUUCCUUGGACAUUGACGGUAUUUCCCACCAUCUUGCUACUAUAAAUAAUGCUGUAAGGAACACUGUUACCAUGAAUUCUCUGCAUGUUUCAUUAGGGUCAGAAGUGUGACUGAAGACCGAGUACAUUAGUCAAAUGCAUUUAAGAAAUGAAGCAUCAUUUUAUACUCCCAACAGUGGUGUAUGUCUUUCCUUUUUUAAUCCAAAGUUUUAAAAUGGCAUCAUUUAUAUUCAGUAUUCUGGGGCGCCUGGGUGGCUGUCGGUUAAGCGUCCGACUUCAGCUCAGGUCAUGAUCUCACGGUUCGUGGGUUUGAGCCCCACGUCGGGCUCUGUGCUGACAGCUCAGAGCCUGGAGCCCAUUUCAGAUUCUAUGUCUCCUUCUCUCUCUGCCCCUCCCCACUCGCGCUCUGUCUCCCUCUGUCUCAAAAAUAAAUAAACAUUUAAAAAAAAUUUUUAAUUGAGUAUUCUUGGGGACUUAAAAUCAUGAUAGUUCUAUUGGAUUAUGUGAAAAAUCUCAAAGCAUUUUAGCUGCUAUUAUAAUUUUAGCAGAAACUAAAGUAUAUAUUUGAAGUAAACCAAACAGAUUUGAGUCCUCAUUAAUAACAUAGAUCACAAUUCAAAAUCCAGGAUUUUUAAGAGAUUAAAGUAGGUAGAAAAGAAAACUUCUGUUAGUUAUUAACUAAAUAAAAACACUAGGGGCACCUGACUGGCUCAGUUGGUGAAGCGUGUGACUCUUGACCUCGAGGUCGUGAGUUCAAGCUCUACAUUGGGCAUGGAGCCUACUUAAAAAAUAAAAUAAAAACAGUAAUACUGUCCAAAAAAUACUAACUUCUUUGUGGAUCCUCUUUAACAGUCUGACAUUAAACAUCUCAAUGACUCAUUCAAACCUUUAGAGAGAUUAUUUGACAUUUUAGAAAAUCAUACCUGUUUCAACAUGUUCCUAACAUUUUUAUAAAGGAUUGCUAUUCUCCAGCACCCUGUUACAUAUAUUUAAAAGAAAUCAAAUGCUUCCAUAAGGAGAAAGGGGGACGUAGCACAUGGGUUUACACGUGCUUAACCAUGCUUAUUCCAAUCUAAACUUGAUUGAUACGGAACUUCAGUAGCAAGCAGUUUAUUCAGAGAAUACUUAAGUGAAAUGUUGCGAAUUCAGUAUCAAAUGCUAUAUUCAUAUACUUGCAAUUUAAAACUCAUUUAACACAAAAUUUUUGAACUUAUGAGAACACCAAGCUUAAUAACAAAGGGCUAACUUUGUAAGGCAGCAUUUCCGGAUGCAAUUGUCUGAAGGUUUAAUUCUCACAUUUAAUUUCCUUUUUGUUUUUUAAAGUUUAUUUACUUAUUUUUGAGAGAGAGAAAGCACAAGUGGGGGAGGGGCAGAGAGGGAGGAAGAGAGACAAUCCCAAGCAGGCUCUCUGCUGUCAGCACUGAGGUGGAUUCAGGGCUCAAACACACAAACCAUGUGAUCAUGACCUGACCCAAAGUCAGAAGCUGAACUCACCGAGCCACCCAGGCGCCCCUAAUUUCCUUUCUUUACAACUAUGGUCUCUUGCCUGACCUAUCACCAUAGACUUUUUUAAAAUAUAUUUUUAAAAUUUUUAUUUAUUUUUGAGAGAUAGAGCAGAGUCGGGGAGGGGCAGAGAGAGGGAAACACAGAAUCUGAAGCAGGCUCCAGGCUCUGAGCUGUCAGCACAGAGCCGGAUGCGGGGCCUGAACCCACGAACUGUGAGAUCAUGACCUGAGCUGAAGUUGGACGCUUAACCGACUGAGCUACCCAGGCGCCCCUAAAUAUUUUUUAAAAUGUUUAUAUUUGAGAGAGAGCACAGAAGGGGGGGAGACAGAGGGACUCAGAGGAUCUGAAAAAGGCUCUGUCUCUCUCAAAAAUAAACAGACAUUAAAACAAAUUAAAAAAAAGAAAAGAAACCUGGUGAGGCCACGAACACAUCCUAUAUUUUAACUGAGCAGCUUGAGAAACGACAUUUAGGGUGCAGAUUUUAGAAAUAUCAGUGGUGUGGUUUUAGAGUAGUUGUAGCUUUGAUUUUGUCAGUGCUCUGAGCAACUCCUCUCUCCUCUGCAUAGGAUCAGAAGUUAGAAAAAGGCAGUCUAGGGACCCACACGUAACAAUCUACCGCAAACACACAAGGUUGCCGGUUGUUUUAAUGUUUCGGAUCUUUGUUUGGAAUGUCUGAGGACUGUAUGUAAAUGACAUCAUACCAUAGUAUCCUGCGCCCAGCUUCUCCAGUCAGUAGUUUCAAAUUCAUCUAUGUUGAUGUGUGUAGCUCUACUUGAGUCACUAACUGCUGUGUAAUAGCCUUCUGAAUUGUUUUGCACUGGACUAAUACUGUUUCCAAAUUAUACUGCAAUAAACACUCUGGCGUAUCUCCUCUGUGUCGGUUUCCCUGGGGUACUUGAUUACUUACUGGGUCCCUGAAUAUAUUCUGUACCUUCUAGGCUUGUUGCCUCUGUGUCAGCUGCCACGACUAAUUCCUGGACUUUGCACAAAAGCCAUCCUGGGGAGGAUGGGAAACAGAAAUCAUUCAGAUUCAGAGAACCAAGGGUACUGGUAUACUUUCUGCACUAGCUAAUUUCAACUUGAAUAAAACAACCUGGUGCAGUGAUGAGGCACGUUUCGGUAGCCAUGCAGAUCUAGGUUUGAAUUCACGCCCUGUGUAAGGAGUUGUAACUUUGGGCAACCUAAGCUUUAAUUUCCUUCUCUACAAACUAUCCACCUCGCAGGUGGUUGGCAAAUGGUUUGCAAAUCACUUAGUUCUGGGCAAGGUAAACAGUAGGUACAUAAUGAUAAGAUAUAAACUUGGAAUGAAGAGGCCAAACUAUUAUAAAUUCAACUAUAUUGCAGUCACAAAGCACUUCCAGUGAAAAAGAUAGUUAUUAAAGUCAAAUGUGAAUGAACUUAUUACAACUUAUAAAUACAAGUUUACAGCAAGUACAGAGUAAGUUUACAAAUGUGGAGUGUAAUUUUUUUGCUUAUUUUUUUGUUAAUAGCAAUAAAGCUUUAUCAAUAAGACAUAAUUCACAUGUUAUGCAAUUCACCCAGUCAACACACACACUUCAUUGGUUUUGGUAUAUUCACAGAUGUGUACAAACAUCACAGUUUUAAAUUUUUUUUUUCAACGUUUAUUUAUUUUUGGGACAGAGAGAGACAGAGCAUGAACGGGGGAGGGGCAGAGAGAGAGGGAGACACAGAAUCGGAAACAGGCUCCAGGCUCUGAGCCAUCAGCCCAGAGCCCGACGCGGGGCUCGAACUCACGGACCGCGAGAUCGUGACCUGGCUGAAGUCGGACGCUCAACCGACUGCGCCACCCAGGCGCCCCCAAACAUCACAGUUUUAGAACGCUUUCAUCAUCUCAAGAAGAAACCCCAUUCCCAUUAGCUACCACCGCACCCCCUCCCCUCCUCCUAGUCUCAAGCAACCACUAAUCUACUCUCUGUCCCUACGCCUAGUCUGGAUAUUUCCUAUGAAUGGGAUCACACAAUAUGUAGCAUCUAGCCUCUUUCCCUUACCCUGACGUUUUCAGGGUUCACCAUGUUGUAGCCCACAUCAGUAGUUUACUUGUGACCAACUAAUACUCCAUUGCAUGGCUGUGCCAUAUUUUGUCUAUCCAUUCUUCAGUUGAUGGCCACACAAGUUGUUUCCCCAUUUUGGCGAUCAUGAAUAACGCUGCCACCAAUGUUCUGUCCAAGGUCCUGUGUGGACAUACGUGUUCGUUCUCUUGGGCAUAUAGUCAAGACUGAUAUUUCUGGGUCAAAUGGUAAUUCCCGAUUUUAUUGGGGAACUGUCAAACUGGUUUCCAAAGUGGCUGCAGCGUUCCACCUCUCCACCAGCAGUGCACGAGGGCUCCAACGCCUCCAUGUCCUUGACCUUGAAUCUACUCGUCCUUGACCACACAUGUAGUAAUCUGACCCUUUGAAUCUACUCACAGCCAUCCUAGUGGGCGUGAAGUGGCAUCUCCUGGCUUUGAUUUGCAUUUCCUUGAUGAGUAAUGACAGCGAGCUCUUCCUAGGAUUGUUGGCUGUUCUAUCUUGGAUACACGUCCGAAGUAGAAUACUGUCUAUUAUGUCAGGUACUUGGGGUUGUGCUGAUGUUCCCAAUAGCCCCUCGUUUGAUAUGGGAUCAUACACCCUAUUCUGCAAAUGGGCAGGUUUAGGCUGGAGGAAUGAAGCUGAGGAUUUGCAUUUGAGUUUUGUUUUUUUUUUAAUUUUUUUUUUCAACGUUUAUUUAUUUUUGGGACAGAGAGAGACAGAGCAUGAACGGGGGAGGGGCAGAGAGAGAGGGAGACACAGAAUCGGAAACAGGCCCCAGGCUCUGAGCCAUCAGCCCAGAGCCUGACGCGGGGCUCGAACUCACGGACCGCGAGAUCGUGACCUGGCUGAAGUCGGACGCUUAACCGACUGCGCCACCCACGCGCCGCUGCAUUUGAGUUUUAAAUCCAUUUAAAGCACACCUCCUUUGUACUUGUGUUCCAACCACAGUCAAUCUGGUCACAGCAGUGAGGGCCCAGCAGGCACCAUCCAAAGACACUAUUCCAAGACAUGGGACAGCAGACACUACCACCCCCACACUCCAGAGACAACGAACAGAGCUCCAGGAGGCCACUUGCCACAGUACGCGGCAGAGCCUGGCGGUGAAACCAGACAGGGCUGCAGGGUGUGGCCCCGGCUCCCCACAAGAUGUUCCUGGGAAGAUCCUAACCACCCACCCAUCAACAUGCUGCUGGGGUGAGAGACACUCAACACUGUGAUAAGGAAACCAGCUGCAUGUACUGAAGAGCUGUGGUUUCUACAGAAAAUACAGCCUGCUUAAGUUCGUUAGAUACGAUGUUUGGAGGAAUAAGAAACGACUUCUUGGGGCGCCUGGGUGGCUCAGUCGGUUGGGCGUCCGACUUCGGCUCAGGUCAUG